This 76-nucleotide transfer RNA is filed under the name Deltaproteobacteria bacterium. RNAcentral describes it as "tRNA-Phe". It matches the Rfam family "tRNA". Rfam says of the family: Transfer RNA (tRNA) molecules are approximately 80 nucleotides in length. Their secondary structure includes four short double-helical elements and three loops (D, anti-codon, and T loops). Lineage: Bacteria; Pseudomonadati; Myxococcota; Myxococcia. The record is from RNAcentral.
GCCCAGGUAGCUCAGUCGGUAGAGCAGGGGACUGAAAAUCCCCGUGUCGGUGGUUCGAUUCCGCCCCUGGGCACCU